GACGAACGCUGGCGGCGUGCUUAACACAUGCAAGUCGAACGGAAAGGCCCUGCUUGCAGGGUACUCGAGUGGCGAACGGGUGAGUAACACGUGGGUGAUCUGCCCUGCACUUCGGGAUAAGCUUGGGAAACUGGGUCUAAUACCGGAUAGGAACCAUCUUUAGUGUGGUGGUUGGAAAGUUUUUUCGGUGUAGGAUGAGCUCGCGGCCUAUCAGCUUGUUGGUGGGGUAAUGGCCUACCAAGGCGGCGACGGGUAGCCGGCCUGAGAGGGUGUACGGCCACAUUGGGACUGAGAUACGGCCCAGACUCCUACGGGAGGCAGAAGUGGGGAAUAUUGCACAAUGGGCGCAAGCCUGAGGCAGCGAAGCCGCGUGGGGGAUGAAGGCGUUCGGGGUGUAAACUCCUUUCGCUAGGGACGAAGCUUUGUUGUGACGGUACCUAGAUAAGAAGCACCGGCUAACUACGUG
This 466-nucleotide ribosomal RNA is filed under the name uncultured bacterium. Its description in RNAcentral is "partial 16S ribosomal RNA". It matches the Rfam family "Bacterial small subunit ribosomal RNA", at positions 28 to 507 of the family's 1533-position model. The record is from RNAcentral.